Molecule: microRNA, 18 nt
Filed under: Zea mays
Lineage: Eukaryota; Viridiplantae; Streptophyta; Magnoliopsida; Poales; Poaceae
Description: microRNA miR-3071b
Source: RNAcentral
GGUCGGGCCUAACGGGUA